Long non-coding RNA from Myotis myotis, 628 nucleotides. RefSeq lists it as uncharacterized. The record is from RefSeq and is a predicted model, not a curated record. The transcript has 3 exons. NCBI's taxonomy places the organism in Eukaryota, Metazoa, Chordata, Mammalia, Chiroptera, Vespertilionidae.
UGUUUCCCAAGAAGGCAGAGCUGGCCUUCGCAGUGUCUCCAGGCCCCCGGGGAGGCAACGGGGAGAGAGUCAAAGAGAAGUCAGGACGGUCAGGACGGCCACUGCCCUGGCCUGGGAGUGACAGCACCUUGGUUCCGUCCCAGCUGCCGUUCUUGCUGGCCGCCACCGAGCCUCCGGUUCCUCAGCGCCCCAUCUCUAAAACGGGACAAUGCCUGCCCUACCCACGUGCCAAGGACUCAAUGGGGGAACAUAAGUGGAGACAUCGUACAAUGUGAGAAACGCUGUGCGAUGUGUUUUCACUGUCAUUAUGGCUACGUUUUGCUACAGAGGCUAUAUCUCUCUCUAGAAGCUGCUGCCAGGGGUGAGCCAGCUCCUGCUUGUACCUCAGAAGGACCUACAUUAGCCCUGAGUGGGAACGCGUCACAUGGGCUGUUCAGACACUCUUCCAGAGCUACGCUGCGUGCAGAGCCACCUGGAAAGGUGAGGAGUGAGGAGGGGCACUCCAUUCCCCCCAGAGACUAGGCAGCUCCGCCUGGAGGCCUUUGCCUAGAGCAGUGAUGGCAAACCUAUGACAUGCGUGUCACAGGUGACAUGCAAACUCAUUUUUUUGGUUGAUUUUUCUUUGUUA